UAUGGUGACUAUUGCGGUGGGGUCCACCUCUUCCCAUUCCGAACAGAGAAGUUAAGCCCACCAGCGCCGAUGAUACUGCCGCAAGGUGGAAAAGUAGGUCGUUGCCAGUU
Molecule: ribosomal RNA, 110 nt
Filed under: Bacteroidales bacterium
Lineage: Bacteria; Pseudomonadati; Bacteroidota; Bacteroidia; Bacteroidales
Source: RNAcentral